Molecule: ribosomal RNA, 253 nt
Filed under: uncultured bacterium
Lineage: Bacteria
Description: partial 16S ribosomal RNA
Rfam family: Bacterial small subunit ribosomal RNA
Source: RNAcentral
UACAGAGGUGCCAAGCGUUAGGCGGAAUCACUGGGCUUAAAGCGCGCGUAGGCGGAUGUUUAAGUGUCUUGUGAAAUCCCACGGCUCAACCGUGGAACUGCUGGGCAUACUGGACAUCUCGAGGCACUCAGGGGCGAGCGGAACAAGUGGUGGAGCGGUGAAAUGCGUAGAUAUCUGGAGGAACGCCGGUGGCGAAGGCGGCAUCCUGGACCAGCGCUGACACUGAUGAGCGAAAGCCAGGGGAGCAAACGGG